GACGAACUGCCCAAACGUUGUUCGGAAUCACUGGGCUUAAAGGGCGCGUAGGCGGCGAAUCAAGUCAGGGGUGAAAUCCGGCAGCUUAACUGUCGAAGUGCCUUUGAUACUGGUUUGCUCGAGGAAGGUAGGGGUGUGUGGAACUUCUGGUGGAGCGGUGAAAUGCGUUGAUAUCAGAAGGAACGCCGGUGGCGAAAGCGACGCACUGGACCUUUUCUGACGCUGAGGCGCGAAAGCUAGGGGAGCAAACGGG
Molecule: ribosomal RNA, 253 nt
Filed under: uncultured bacterium
Lineage: Bacteria
Description: partial 16S ribosomal RNA
Rfam family: Bacterial small subunit ribosomal RNA
Source: RNAcentral